UGCUACUCCGGAAUCGUUUUACAGAAGGUCUAGAAGAGCUGUGUAAAAACACGACGCAACAGAUUGCCAUGACAAGAAGACGUAUAUAGAAGGCAAGUUAUUUUCGAUUUGGUGGAAGUGGCAACUACUGAAACAUGGAGAAAAUGGUGC
Molecule: non-coding RNA, 150 nt
Organism: Pimephales promelas (fathead minnow)
Lineage: Eukaryota; Metazoa; Chordata; Actinopteri; Cypriniformes; Leuciscidae
Source: RefSeq, a predicted model, not a curated record